Molecule: unclassified non-coding RNA, 219 nt
Filed under: Folsomia sp. SA-2013
Lineage: Eukaryota; Metazoa; Arthropoda; Collembola; Entomobryomorpha; Isotomidae
Description: sequence contains ITS2
Source: RNAcentral
UUACUCAAACUAAUGGCUUUAUAUGAAUGGAUGUUACAAUCCAACUUGAGCCUGUUUGAUUUCACAAAAGUUUCAUCGCUGGGUUUUACAGCCCGGUUAGAACUGUUGGUAUGCUUAUGGAAGCUUCUUUUAACUAAGUUGCUAGCUAAUUUGAAUGAAUAAUAAAAUUAGUGAAAACAUUUCAUACUGCUGUUUAUAAAAAUAUAUAAAUCAAACAUA